AGACCCGAAACCCGGUGAUCUAGCCAUGGGCAGGUUGAAGGUUGGGUAACACUAACUGGAGGACCGAACCGACUAAUGUUGAAAAAUUAGCGGAUGACCUGUGGCUGGGGGUGAAAGGCCAAUCAAACCGGGAGAUAGCUGGUUCUCCCCGAAAGCUAUUUAGGUAGCGCCUCGUGAAUUCAUCUCCGGGGGUAGAGCACUGUUUCGGCUAGGGGGCCAUCCCGGCUUACCAACCCGAUGCAAACUGCGAAUACCGGAGAAUGUUAUCACGGGAGACACACGGCGGGUGCUAACGUCCGUCGUGAAGAGGGAAACAACCCAGACCGCCAGCUAAGGUCCCAAAGUCAUGGUUAAGUGGGAAACGAUGUGGGAAGGCCCAGACAGCCAGGAUGUUGGCUUAGAAGCAGCCAUCAUUUAAAGAAAGCGUAAUAGCUCACUGGUCGAGUCGGCCUGCGCGGAAGAUGUAACGGGGCUAAACCAUGCACCGAAGCUGCGGCAGCGACGCUGAUGCGUUGUUGGGUAGGGGAGCGUUCUGUAAGCCUGUGAAGGUGGCCUGUGAGGGUUGCUGGAGGUAUCAGAAGUGCGAAUGCUGACAUAAGUAACGAUAAAGCGGGUGAAAAGCCCGCUCGCCGGAAGACCAAGGGUUCCUGUCCAACGUUAAUCGGGGCAGGGUGAGUCGACCCCUAAGGCGAGGCCGAAAGGCGUAGUCGAUGGGAAACGGGUUAAUAUUCCCGUACUUGGUGUUACUGCGAAGGGGGGACGGAGAAGGCUAUGUUGGCCGGGCGACGGUUGUCCCGGUUUAAGCGUGUAGGUGUGUGUUCCAGGUAAAUCCGGUUCACUUUAACACUGAGGCGUGAUGACGAGGCACUACGGUGCUGAAGCAACAAAUGCCCUGCUUCCAGGAAAAGCCUCUAAGCAUCAGGUAACAUCAAAUCGUACCCCAAACCGACACAGGUGGUCAGGUAGAGAAUACCAAGGCGCUUGAGAGAACUCGGGUGAAGGAACUAGGCAAAAUGGUGCCGUAACUUCGGGAGAAGGCACGCUGACACGUAGGUGAAGUGAUUUACUCAUGGAGCUGAAGUCAGUCGAAGAUACCAGCUGGCUGCAACUGUUUAUUAAAAACACAGCACUGUGCAAACACGAAAGUGGACGUAUACGGUGUGACGCCUGCCCGGUGCCGGAAGGUUAAUUGAUGGGGUCAGCGCAAGCGAAGCUCCUGAUCGAAGCCCCGGUAAACGGCGGCCGUAACUAUAACGGUCCUAAGGUAGCGAAAUUCCUUGUCGGGUAAGUUCCGACCUGCACGAAUGGCGUAAUGAUGGCCAGGCUGUCUCCACCCGAGACUCAGUGAAAUUGAACUCGCUGUGAAGAUGCAGUGUACCCGCGGCAAGACGGAAAGACCCCGUGAACCUUUACUAUAGCUUGACACUGAACAUUGAGCCUUGAUGUGUAGGAUAGGUGGGAGGCUUUGAAGUGUGGACGCCAGUCUGCAUGGAGCCGACCUUGAAAUACCACCCUUUAAUGUUUGAUGUUCUAACGUGGACCCGUAAUCCGGGUUGCGGACAGUGUCUGGUGGGUAGUUUGACUGGGGCGGUCUCCUCCUAAAGAGUAACGGAGGAGCACGAAGGUUGGCUAAUCCUGGUCGGACAUCAGGAGGUUAGUGCAAUGGCAUAAGCCAGCUUGACUGCGAGCGUGACGGCGCGAGCAGGUGCGAAAGCAGGUCAUAGUGAUCCGGUGGUUCUGAAUGGAAGGGCCAUCGCUCAACGGAUAAAAGGUACUCCGGGGAUAACAGGCUGAUACCGCCCAAGAGUUCAUAUCGACGGCGGUGUUUGGCACCUCGAUGUCGGCUCAUCACAUCCUGGGGCUGAAGUAGGUCCCAAGGGUAUGGCUGUUCGCCAUUUAAAGUGGUACGCGAGCUGGGUUUAGAACGUCGUGAGACAGUUCGGUCCCUAUCUGCCGUGGGCGCUGGAGAACUGAGGGGGGCUGCUCCUAGUACGAGAGGACCGGAGUGGACGCAUCACUGGUGUUCGGGUUGUCAUGCCAAUGGCACUGCCCGGUAGCUAAAUGCGGAAGAGAUAAGUGCUGAAAGCAUCUAAGCACGAAACUUGCCCCGAG
RNAcentral lists this ribosomal RNA (2112 nucleotides) under Salmonella enterica subsp. enterica. RNAcentral's name for it is "partial 23S ribosomal RNA". It matches the Rfam family "Bacterial large subunit ribosomal RNA", at positions 711 to 2803 of the family's 2925-position model. Lineage: Bacteria; Pseudomonadati; Pseudomonadota; Gammaproteobacteria; Enterobacterales; Enterobacteriaceae. The record is from RNAcentral.